UACGUAGGGCGCAAGCGUUAUCCGGAAUUAUUGGGCGUAAAGAGCUCGUAGGCGGUUUGUCGCGUCUUCCGUGAAAACUGGGGGCUUAACUUCCAGCUUGCGGUGGAUACGGGCUGACUUGAGGCAUUGAGGGGAGAACGGAAUUCCUGGUGUAGCGGUGAAAUGCGCAGAUAUCAGGAGGAACACCGGUGGCGAAGGCGGUUCUCUGGCAAUGUUCUGACGCUGAGGAGCGAAAGUGUGGGGAGCGAACAGG
Molecule: ribosomal RNA, 253 nt
Filed under: uncultured bacterium
Lineage: Bacteria
Description: partial 16S ribosomal RNA
Rfam family: Bacterial small subunit ribosomal RNA
Source: RNAcentral